UAGGGAAUCUUCCGCAAUGGGCGAAAGCCUGACGGAGCAACGCCGCGUGAGUGAUGAAGGUCCUCGGAUCGUAAAACUCUGUUAUUAGGGAAGAACAAAUGUGUAAGUAACUAUGCACGUCUUGACGGUACCUAAUCAGAAAGCCACGGCUAACUACGUGCCAGCAGCCGCGGUAAUACGUAGGUGGCAAGCGUUAUCCGGAAUUAUUGGGCGUAAAGCGCGCGUAGGCGGUUUUUUAAGUCUGAUGUGAAAGCCCACGGCUCAACCGUGGAGGGUCAUUGGAAACUGGAAAACUUGAGUGCAGAAGAGGAAAGUGGAAUUCCAUGUGUAGCGGUGAAAUGCGCAGAGAUAUGGAGGAACACCAGUGGCGAAGGCGACUUUCUGGUCUGUAACUGACGCUGAUGUGCGAAAGCGUGGGGAUCAAACAGG
Molecule: ribosomal RNA, 429 nt
Filed under: Actinomycetes bacterium
Lineage: Bacteria; Bacillati; Actinomycetota; Actinomycetes
Description: Actinobacteria bacterium partial 16S ribosomal RNA
Rfam family: Bacterial small subunit ribosomal RNA
Source: RNAcentral